GUGUAGCUCAGUGGUAGAGCAUUUGCCUAGCAUGCACAAUGGCCUGGGUUUGAUCCCCAGCAC
This 63-nucleotide transfer RNA is filed under the name Fukomys damarensis (Damara mole-rat). It matches the Rfam family "tRNA", at positions 5 to 66 of the family's 71-position model. From Rfam's summary of the family: Transfer RNA (tRNA) molecules are approximately 80 nucleotides in length. Their secondary structure includes four short double-helical elements and three loops (D, anti-codon, and T loops). Further hydrogen bonds mediate the characteristic L-shaped molecular structure. tRNAs have two regions of fundamental functional importance: the anti-codon, which is responsible for specific mRNA codon recognition, and the 3' end, to which the tRNAs corresponding amino acid is attached (by aminoacyl-tRNA synthetases). tRNAs cope with the degeneracy of the genetic code in two manners: having more than one tRNA (with a specific anti-codon) for a particular amino acid; and 'wobble' base-pairing, i.e. permitting non-standard base-pairing at the 3rd anti-codon position. Lineage: Eukaryota; Metazoa; Chordata; Mammalia; Rodentia; Bathyergidae. The record is from Rfam by way of RNAcentral.